This 546-nucleotide ribosomal RNA is filed under the name Leptuca leptodactyla. Its description in RNAcentral is "partial 16S rRNA". It matches the Rfam family "Bacterial large subunit ribosomal RNA", at positions 1831 to 2625 of the family's 2925-position model. The record is from RNAcentral. Lineage: Eukaryota; Metazoa; Arthropoda; Malacostraca; Decapoda; Ocypodidae.
GUCUGUUUGAAGGUGUAAAAAGUCUAGUCUGCCCACUGAUAAAAUUUAAAGGGCCGCAGUAAUCUGACUGUGCAAAGGUAGCAUAAUCGUUAGUUUUUUAAUUGGAAUCUUGUAUGAAUGGCUGAACAAAAGAAUUUCUGUCUCUAUAUCUUUUUUGAAUUUAACUUUUAAGUGAAAAGGCUUAAAUAUAUUUAAAAGACGAUAAGACCCUGUAAAGCUUUAUAAAUGUUUUUAUUUAAAGCAAAUUUAUUAAUAAAGCUUAAUUAAUAAAGAUUUAUUUUGUUGGGGCGACAAUAAUAUAAUAUUUACUAACUGUUAAACUUUAAAACAAAAUUAAUUGACUACCAUAUUUAUGAUCCUUUUUAGAGAUUAAAAGUUUAAGUUACUUCAGGGAUAACAGCGUUAUUUUUCUUAAGAGUCCAUAUCGAAAGAAAAGUUUGCGACCUCGAUGUUGAAUUAAAAAUUUCUUUAUAAUUGCAGAAGUUAUAAAAGAGGGUCUGUUCGACCUUUAAAUUUUUACAUGAUUUGAGUUCAAACCGGUGUAAG